UUAUCAGACUUAUUACAAGGUUGUUCCAACUUGUCUGAUACAGUCAUGAUAUAACAGGAAUGUUACAAGGUGGACGGCACAAGGUUGUAACAAUAUUGUUAUAUUAUGACUAUAUCGGACUUGUUGGAACAACCUUGCAACAAGUCUGAUAA
This 152-nucleotide microRNA precursor is filed under the name Paramuricea clavata. Lineage: Eukaryota; Metazoa; Cnidaria; Anthozoa; Malacalcyonacea; Plexauridae. The record is from RNAcentral.